RNAcentral lists this long non-coding RNA (229 nucleotides) under Elaeis guineensis (African oil palm). Its description in RNAcentral is "long non-coding RNA (EGUI_LNC071283)". Lineage: Eukaryota; Viridiplantae; Streptophyta; Magnoliopsida; Arecales; Arecaceae. The record is from RNAcentral.
GAGAGUCCCCUAUCAGAAAGCCUUUGAUGAGAGUAGACUUUCUUUUUAGAUUUUCUAAGGAGAUUCAAUCCUUAAAUAGAUGCCAACUCUAGAUCGAUAGGAGACUGACCCUGGCUCAGAGCCUUGCAGUAAUAGAUUGGUGUGAGAGGAAGAGCAUUGCCCUUGUUGAAAAGGAAAGAGAAAAUGAUAAGGAUGAUAGUGCACAAUAACUCUGCCACUUUAUGCUGCC